Molecule: long non-coding RNA, 734 nt
Organism: Hibiscus syriacus
Lineage: Eukaryota; Viridiplantae; Streptophyta; Magnoliopsida; Malvales; Malvaceae
Exons: 4
Source: RefSeq, a predicted model, not a curated record
AAGCUGUUUACAAUGAGAAAAGGAUUGCCGUUCAGAAAUUGAAGUUAUUUCAUGAUUCUACUUUAACAUAAUGAAGAUGGAGCUAAAGUUGAAUACCGGGUGUGGAAUCCGUUACGAUCUAAGUUGGCAGCCGCCAUUCUUGGCGGUGUUGACAAUAUAUGGAUUAAACCUGGUGCCAAGGUUCUCUACCCUGGAGCUGCUUCUGGUACAACUGUUUCUCAUGUAUUUGAUGUUGUUGGUCCUUGGAAUUUUCUCACCGGGGUGGUAGAGAUUUGGUUAACAUGGCCAAAAAGAGAACAAAAACAAAUGUUAUACCCAUAAUUGAAGAUGCUAGGCAUCCGGCCAAAUACAGGAUCCUAGUUGGUAUGGUGGAUGUGAUAUUUUCUAAUGUUGCUAUCAGGUUUGCUUUGUUUUGCUUUGUUGAUUUCUUUUUUCUUAUUUUCCCCCUAUAGUGAAUGGUGAUGUAAUCAGGAGGAAUAGGCUUUUAGUUUCUUGGUUGAAUUUGUUUUGUUUAUUUGCUUUCUUCCGUUUUGAUUCUUCCAGCUGUUUUUUAAACAGAGUAGUCUUGGAUUUCUGGCUUAAGGCACAGCUUUAAGUAUCAUAUGCAUAUGAUGAACUCUACUCGGAUUCCCCUUCAAGACUUCAUGGGUGAUGCUAACUCGAGUUUCUGAUGCGAUAAUAAGUGACCAACCUUGAAUAGUUUACAAUUUCAAUUUUUGUAAGAAGAUUCAUUU